Molecule: ribosomal RNA, 464 nt
Filed under: uncultured Flavobacterium sp.
Lineage: Bacteria; Pseudomonadati; Bacteroidota; Flavobacteriia; Flavobacteriales; Flavobacteriaceae
Description: bacterial SSU rRNA
Rfam family: Bacterial small subunit ribosomal RNA
Source: RNAcentral
UUUCCUACGGGAGGCUGCAGUGAGGAAUAUUGGUCAAUGGACGCAAGUCUGAACCAGCCAUGCCGCGUGCAGGAUGAAGCAUCUAUGGUGUGUAAACUGCUUUUGUACGGGAAGAAACACUCCUACGUGUAGGAACUUGACGGUACCGUAAGAAUAAGGAUCGGCUAACUCCGUGCCAGCAGCCGCGGUAAUACGGAGGAUCCAAGCGUUAUCCGGAAUCAUUGGGUUUAAAGGGUCCGUAGGCGGCUUUAUAAGUCAGUGGUGAAAGCCCAUCGCUUAACGAUGGAACGGCCAGUGAUACUGUAGAUCUUGAAUUACUUGGAAGUAACUAGAAUAUGUAGUGUAGCGGUGAAAUGCUUAGAUAUUACAUGGAAUACCAAUUGCGAAGGCAGGUUACUACAAGUGGAUUGACGCUGAUGGACGAAAGCGUGGGGAGCGAACAGGAUUAGAUACCCCAGUAGUCA